RNAcentral lists this ribosomal RNA (433 nucleotides) under uncultured bacterium. RNAcentral describes it as "partial 16S ribosomal RNA". It matches the Rfam family "Bacterial small subunit ribosomal RNA", at positions 29 to 507 of the family's 1533-position model. The record is from RNAcentral.
AACGAACGCUGGCGGCAUGCCUAACACAUGCAAGUCGAACGAGACCGUCGUGUCUAUUUGCGCACGGGUGCGUAACGCCUGGUAACCUGCCCUUAGGUUCGGAGUAACUCCCCUAAGGGUGUGCUAAGACCGCAUAAUGUCUUCGGGCCAAAGAUUUAUCGCCUUUGGGUGGGGCCUCGUUGGUUUAGCUGGUUGGUAGUGUAAAAGCAUACCAAGGCGACGAUCCAUAGCUGGUCUGUUAGGAUGAUAAUCCGCAAUGGGACUGCGACACGGACCAGAAUCCUACGGGAAGCAGCAGUGGGGAAUAUUGGAGAAUGAGCCCAAGCCCGAUCAAGCAACGCCGCGUGAGUGAUGAAGGCCUUAGGGUUGUAAAGCUCCUUUACACGGGAUGAUAAUGACAGUAACGGGAGAAUAAGCUCCGGCUAACUCCGUG